GAAAGAAAGAAGGAAAGAAAAAAAGAAAGCGAGAAAGAAGAAAAACAAGAAAACAAUACGAUGGAUCUAUUCAACAUUUGCGUGUUUGCUUUUUCGUUCCUUUGACCUUUUUCU
This 114-nucleotide non-coding RNA is filed under the name Chromera velia. The record is from RNAcentral. Lineage: Eukaryota; Chromeraceae.